GAUGAACGCUGGCGGCGUGCCUAAUACAUGCAAGUCGAGCGAACGGACGAGAAGCUUGCUUCUCUGAUGUUAGCGGCGGACGGGUGAGUAACACGUGGAUAAACUACCUAUAAGACUGGGAUAACUUCGGGAAACCGGAGCUAAUACCGGAUAAUAUUUUGAACCGCAUGGUUCAAAAGUGAAAGACGGUCUUGCUGUCACUAAUAGAUGGAUCCGCGCUGCAUUAGCUAGUUGGUAAGGUAACGGCUUACCAAGGCAACGAUGCAUAGCCGACCUGAGAGGGUGAUCGGCCACACUGGAACUGAGACACGGUCCAGACUCCUACGGGAGGCAGCAGUAGGGAAUCUUCCGCAAUGGGCGAAAGCCUGACGCAGCAACGCCGCGUGAGUGAUGAAGGUCUUCGGAUCGUAAAACUCUGUUAUUAGGGAAGAACAUAUGUGUAAGUAACUGUGCACAUCUUGACGGUACCUAAUCAGAAAGCCACGGCUAACUACGUG
This 497-nucleotide ribosomal RNA is filed under the name uncultured bacterium. Its description in RNAcentral is "partial 16S ribosomal RNA". It matches the Rfam family "Bacterial small subunit ribosomal RNA", at positions 28 to 507 of the family's 1533-position model. The record is from RNAcentral.